GAUGAAGAACGUAGCGAAAUGCGAUACGUAAUGUGAAUUGCAGAAUUCAGUGAAUCAUCGAAUCUUUGAACGCACAUUGCGCCCUUUGGCAUUCCGAAGGGCACACCUGUCCGAGCGCCGUCGCACAACUGAGGCGCAGCCUUGCGUUGGCGGGCGACUUGUGAGUAGCGAGUCGCCGCCCAAACGAGACGGCGCCGCGCCGCGGCCGACGAAGCACGAAAGCGGAAGUCGACGCGGAGGCGGUUGCCUGUAGGAAGACACAGCUUGGCCUCGGAUCAGGUGGGGAUACCCGCUGAACUUAAGCAUAUCAAUAAGCGGAGGA
This 322-nucleotide unclassified non-coding RNA is filed under the name soil metagenome. RNAcentral's name for it is "partial contains 5.8S ribosomal RNA, internal transcribed spacer 2, and large subunit ribosomal RNA". The stretch from base 1 to 120 matches the Rfam family "5.8S ribosomal RNA", at positions 35 to 154 of the family's 154-position model. The record is from RNAcentral.